CGGCGACUGGAUUCUCUCCCAAAGAGAGCAACCACAGCCACAGCCACUGCAGAAUCAGCAACAACAGCUAGGUCAACAAUUCAAUUGACUGCGUUGAUCCACCGGUUAAGAAUUCUUGGUAAAUCAGAUCCACUGAACAAAAUUACAGAAAGAAAACGAAAGGAAAGGAAGUAGAAUUUAUAUUAGUAUCGUUAGUAUUUGUUAAUUUUUUAGGGUGUUCUUUUAAAGAUUUUCGUUUAUAGGUGAAGGACGGAACUGUUUCUUCGAUUUGAAAUCAUGGACGGAUAGGAUAGGUUGGAAAAUUGUAAAGUGGGUUAUUAGUUGACAGUUGAUUGUUGUUUGGAUUAAUAGAACAAGUGAGAAACUAAUGGGAACCUAUCUCGGUUUCCAAAUAUAUUGAAUGUCUUUAAAGUUUGUGUAGAAACUUUAUUUUGCUAAUUGAAUCUCCUGCCCCAUUCAAUACUAUGUUAGAUACCCUCUUAAAUUUGGCUUAACACAGGCCCUAGUUUUCAAUAGCAGCACCAAUUUCUAUUUGUAGCAAUUUAUAAUGUUGUUCCUAUUUUUGUUCUGUGUGUAAUAUAGUCAGAGUAAGAGACUUAACUAUUAUAUUGGCUAUGUAUGGAUAUAUGAAGCUUGAUAUGAUAAUUAAACUUGUCGUUGGUUUAACUAAAUUAGGUCUCCACCUUGUGUAGUUAGACUGUUAGACUUUGUUAAAAUUGGAAAAGAAGCUAUGGAACUAAUCAAAC
RNAcentral lists this long non-coding RNA (746 nucleotides) under Arachis ipaensis. RNAcentral describes it as "long non-coding RNA (AIPA_LNC000589)". The record is from RNAcentral. Lineage: Eukaryota; Viridiplantae; Streptophyta; Magnoliopsida; Fabales; Fabaceae.